ACCAGUGAAGGUAUCGAGUAUGAUCAUAAAAAUAUGGAAUAAGGACAUAAACCACGAUUGAUUUUGGGAAGUUUUUUUUUCUACUUAAUUACAUUGUUUCAAGUGAUACUUACGUAUAAAAGAAUGUAUAAUUGUAUAUACAACAGUUCACUGUUUCAAAGUGAUUACUUUUUUUGUAUACGCAGAACUGUUCUUAAAAGCAGAACUGUUCCCAAAAAUAGAUUUUCAGUCAUCUAAUUUAUUUCGUCGCGCAAUCCAAACUUUAGUAAGGUGAUUAUUAUCUAUUUUUGUGACACAUGCUUUAUAUGCGGGAUUUAAGUUAAAGUCAUAUUGAUAUGUUUCAAGUAAUUUUGUUGGUGGAACUAUAAUAUAAUAUAGUGUUAAAGCCUUCGAGACAGUUAUUUUACGCUCAUCAAAUGGAGUAAAUUCAACCCAUUACAAGAUGGAAAAAUGUAAACAGCAACCCCGAAGCAAGCGAGAGACGAAGAGAAUGAUACUUAUGUACCAACGCCUAGUGCCCAAAGCAAGACAGCUGUUGUCUUAUGUAAGUCACAGGAGCUGCCCAAAAUGGUGACAAGUGGCAAUGACAAACAAGUCAUACUGCAUGCACCUAAAGAUGAUCUAAUUAUUUCUGGUACCUAUAGCAUGGGGAUGCGUCGCUCAUAUGCUAAAUAUAUAGUGGAAUAUGGCGAUAAACUUUUAGCAUUUGAGGAUGCUUAGCACAUAUUGCCAGCUACAAUGACAGAAGAAGUAAUAGAAAUAAUCAUUAUUGGAUAAGUUGGAUAUUCAUUUUAUUUUGGUGACUUCGGACGGUGCCUUGAAUGUGAUGUGAGAAACACAUUGUGUAACUUAGUGAAAUUCAUUGCUCGUUCUUUUCUUUGCUGCAAUGUUCUCAAUGACGAUGUCUUGAUACAUUCUAACCGAAUCUGAAACUGUUGGAUGGAAAUGAGAUACGGGAUUAUUACAAUAAGGUUUAGAAGUGAUAAAUUACAAAUCUCAGUAUCAAAUCACGUAAUAAGGUAUAUUACUGAUCCAUUCAGUUCAUGAGUAGGAAAUAAUUUUGAAAGAGAUGGAUUAUUUCAACCAAACUGCGCUUUUCUUGCUUUCAUUUCAAAUUGUUUUAAGAAUGUGAAAAUAGUAAAAUUGAUUUAAUGAAUUCCGUAGAUUUUGGAACACAGAACAGUAAAAAGCUUCAUUGUCAUACAUGUUUACCGUUUCCAAGAACAACAGAAUGGUAAUUAAAAAUGUACCGGAAUCAUAAACUCCCAUUUGAAAACAAUACAUUUAGUAGUCAUGUAAUGUUUUUAUGCAAGAAUACCUUCGGUCUCGGUCACAAACAUUCCCGCGGGCUUCUACAGACGUUAAUACGCAAAAAACAUGUAUUAUCUCUACAUUCAAAUAAAAAAACAUGAAAGGAUUUACUACUUUUUCUACAACUGUUCUACCGAUCUAAUACAGAAACUUAAAUUACGAAAACCGAAAAGUCAUCAUGAUUGUUUGGUAAAUUGGUUCUAAGUAUGAAAGUGUGUACUUAUAACACGUUUGUAAAAAGGGAGAUUUAAGAGGGUUUCAUCAAUUUUAAUCGUUUUAUUAAUGUUAUUAGGUGAUGCUUGAAAAUAUGUAUUAGUCCUGGCAUAAUAUAUUGUUCAAGUUGCAGAAUUAAAAUAGAUUAAAGUCGGUAGAAAAAAAUUAUUAUAUUAUCAAAAACUGAGUUCUUUGAAUUGUGGCUAAACAAAGUGUUGAAGUUGGUACCAUUUCGCCUGUACAGCAACGUUUAACAGAAACUAUUUCAUUACAUAUUUCUAUAUUAAUUAUUAUUUUUUUAAUUAAAAUUAAAUGGUCCAAGUUUUAGUACAUUUUGAAGCUGAUUAUAAAUUUUCGAAUCUUAUUUGAUCAACUGGGUAAAAACGUUUCAUGUUUUAUUCGGUUUGUCAUUUUUGAAGAAAAUGGCAAUAAAAUUAGGUUGAAUGUAAUAACAACCGUGCUUUUGUUGUCGUUGGAACAUACAUUUUCUAACAAUGAAAAAUGAAUGAAGUUCAAAUUCGAAAUACUAAAUACUACAUGUAGAUUUAUACCAUUCUGUCUUAAAUUUAAAGAUUUCUUUUCUUUGUUUAUCCCGAUUAAAAUAAAACUCGGUAAAACUUUUAAUCCAAGUAUUGUGCGCAUCUAAGGUCAAUUCCAAAGAGGUCUUAAGUGUUCCAGAUUCUGCACUUCUUCCAGUUAAUACAUUUGUUGCUUAUAUCUCGAUUUCAUUUAAGCAUGUUUAUAAUUAUUUUGUUUCAAUAUUGAAGUUCGCUUUGCACUGUGUUCAUCCAUCUACUUUCAGAAUAAAAGUCAAAGCGUC
Mercenaria mercenaria is the source of this 2344-nucleotide long non-coding RNA. RefSeq lists it as uncharacterized. The record is from RefSeq and is a predicted model, not a curated record. Lineage: Eukaryota; Metazoa; Mollusca; Bivalvia; Venerida; Veneridae. The transcript is spliced from 4 exons.